ACAGUUUCCGCAGCUGUAGAUGGAUGCUUUGAUAGUAGAAUCAAAGAUUCUUGUUUCGGAGAGAAACUAUCUAUAUGAGGAUGCUCUAAACGCCAAAAA
RNAcentral lists this ribosomal RNA (99 nucleotides) under Eimeria hargisi. RNAcentral describes it as "small subunit ribosomal RNA". Lineage: Eukaryota; Apicomplexa; Conoidasida; Eucoccidiorida; Eimeriidae. The record is from RNAcentral.